ACCUCCCUGUGUCCGUCUCUGUAACGAAUCUCGCACAGCGAUUUUCGUGUCAGAUAAGUGAAUAUCAACAGUGUGAGACACACGAUCAACACACACCAGACAAGGGAACUUCGUGGUAGUUUCAUGGCCUUCUUCUCCUUGCGCAAAGCGCGGUAAGAGGCUAUCCUGAUGUGGACUAGACAUAGGGAUGCCUCGUGGUGGUUAAUGAAAAUUAACUUACUACGGGGCUAUCUUCU
Molecule: non-coding RNA, 236 nt
Filed under: Escherichia coli
Lineage: Bacteria; Pseudomonadati; Pseudomonadota; Gammaproteobacteria; Enterobacterales; Enterobacteriaceae
Also listed under: 1 other name
Source: RNAcentral